GUCUUCAUCCAUGCUACCCUGAACAAGCCCGAUCCCGUCUGAUCUCGGAAGCUAAGCAGGGUCAGUCCUGGUUAGUACUUGGAUGGGAGACCACCUAGGAAGACCAGGUGCUGUAGGCG
RNAcentral lists this ribosomal RNA (119 nucleotides) under Pteropus alecto (black flying fox). Lineage: Eukaryota; Metazoa; Chordata; Mammalia; Chiroptera; Pteropodidae. The record is from RNAcentral.